RNAcentral lists this ribosomal RNA (493 nucleotides) under uncultured bacterium. RNAcentral describes it as "bacterial SSU rRNA". It matches the Rfam family "Bacterial small subunit ribosomal RNA", at positions 21 to 507 of the family's 1533-position model. The record is from RNAcentral.
GGCUCAGGAUGAACGCUAGCGGCAGGCUUAAUACAUGCAAGUCGUGGGGCAGCAUGAGUAGCAAUACUUGAUGGCGACCGGCAAACGGGUGAGGAACACGUACACAACCUUCCUUCAAGCGGGGAAUAGCCCAGAGAAAAUUUGGAUUAAAUACCCCAUAAUAUAUUUGAUAAGGCAUCUUAUUAAUAUUAAAAGCUUCGGCACUUGAUGAUGGGUGUGCGGCUGAUUAGAUAGUUGGCGGGGUAACGGCCCACCAAGUCUACGAUCAGUAGCUGAUGUGAGAGCAUGAUCAGCCACACGGGCACUGAGACACGGGCCCGACUCCUACGGGAGGCAGCAGUAAGGAAUAUUGGACAAUAGACGAAAGUCUGAUCCAGCCAUGCCGCGUGAAGGAUUAAGGUCCUCUGGAUUGUAAACUUCUUUAUAUGGGACGAAAAAGGGCAUUCUUGUUCACUUGACGGUACCAUAUGAAUAAGCACCGGCUAACUCCGUG